This 482-nucleotide ribosomal RNA is filed under the name uncultured bacterium. Its description in RNAcentral is "partial 16S ribosomal RNA". It matches the Rfam family "Bacterial small subunit ribosomal RNA", at positions 36 to 507 of the family's 1533-position model. The record is from RNAcentral.
CUUUCCCUCUGGCGGCAUGCCUUACACAUGCAAAUCGAACGGUAACGGGCCUUCGGGUGCCGACGAGUGGCGAACGGGUGAGUAAUACAUCGGAACGUGCCCGAUCGUGGGGGAUAACGAGGCGAAAGCUUUGCUAAUACCGCAUACGAUCUACGGAUGAAAGCAGGGGACCGCAAGGCCUUGCGCGGACGGAGCGGCCGAUGGCAGAUUAGGUAGUUGGUGGGAUAAAAGCUUACCAAGCCGACGAUCUGUAGCUGGUCUGAGAGGAUGAUCAGCCACACUGGGACUGAGACACGGCCCAGACUCCUACGGGAGGCAGCAGUGGGGAAUUUUGGACAAUGGGCGCAAGCCUGAUCCAGCCAUGCCGCGUGCAGGAUGAAGGCCUUCGGGUUGUAAACUGAUUUUGUACGGAACGAAAAGCCUUCUUUUAAUACAGGAGGGUCAUGACGGUACCGUAAGAAUAAGCACCGGCUAACUACGUG